RNAcentral lists this ribosomal RNA (433 nucleotides) under uncultured bacterium. RNAcentral's name for it is "partial 16S ribosomal RNA". It matches the Rfam family "Bacterial small subunit ribosomal RNA", at positions 29 to 507 of the family's 1533-position model. The record is from RNAcentral.
AACGAACGCUGGCGGCAUGCCUAACACGUGCAAGUCGAACGAGACCUUCGGGUCUAGUGGCGCACGGGUGCGUAACGCGUGGGAACCUGCCUUUAGGUUCGGAAUAACUCAGAGAAAUUUGAGCUAAUACCGGAUGAUGUCUUCGGACCAAAGAUUUAUCGCCUUUAGAUGGGCCCGCGUUGGAUUAGCUAGUUGGUGGGGUAAAGGCCUACCAAGGCGACGAUCCAUAGCUGGUCUGAGAGGAUGAUCAGCCACACUGGGACUGAGACACGGCCCAGACUCCUACGGGAGGAAGCAGUGGGGAAUAUUGGACAAUGGGCGAAAGCCUGAUCCAGCAAUGCCGCGUGAGUGAUGAAGGCCUUAGGGUUGUAAAGCUCUUUUACCCGAGAUGAUAAUGACAGUAUCGGGAGAAUAAGCUCCGGCUAACUCCGUG